GACGAACGCUGGCGGCGUGCUUAACACAUGCAAGUCGAACGGAAAGGCCCUGCUUUUGUGGGGUGCUCGAGUGGCGAACGGGUGAGUAACACGUGAGUAACCUGCCCUAGACUUUGGGAUAACUUCAGGAAACUGGGGCUAAUACCGGAUAGGAGCUCCUGCUGCAUGGUGGGGGUUGGAAAGUUUCGGCGGUUGGGGAUGGACUCGCGGCCUAUCAGCUUGUUGGUGGGGUAGUGGCUUACCAAGGCUUUGACGGGUAGCCGGCCUGAGAGGGUGACCGGCCACAUUGGGACUGAGAUACGGCCCAGACUCCUACGGGAGGCAGCAGUGGGGAAUAUUGCACAAUGGGCGGAAGCCUGAUGCAGCAACGCCGCGUGCGGGAUGACGGCCUUCGGGUUGUAAACCGCUUUCGCCUGUGACGAAGCGUGAGUGACGGUAAUGGGUAAAGAAGCACCGGCUAACUACGUG
This 468-nucleotide ribosomal RNA is filed under the name uncultured bacterium. RNAcentral's name for it is "partial 16S ribosomal RNA". It matches the Rfam family "Bacterial small subunit ribosomal RNA", at positions 28 to 507 of the family's 1533-position model. The record is from RNAcentral.